This 209-nucleotide long non-coding RNA is filed under the name Panax ginseng (ginseng). Its description in RNAcentral is "long non-coding RNA (PGIN_LNC013711)". Lineage: Eukaryota; Viridiplantae; Streptophyta; Magnoliopsida; Apiales; Araliaceae. The record is from RNAcentral.
AUAUUUGUCUGUCAAUAUAAUACUUUCAAACACCAAUAAAAUUUAACAAACAUGCAUCAUGGUUGUUAGGAUAUAUAUGAACUCAUGAAUAUCUUUAACUUAGCCAGCCCAAAACCAUUUAUGCCACGUAAUUAAUGGUGAACAGUCCGUCGAUCCUAGCUUGUUUGACCAGGCAACGCUCACUUGGCCAUCACCCACCACUAUCUCUC